This 438-nucleotide long non-coding RNA is filed under the name Elaeis guineensis (African oil palm). RNAcentral's name for it is "long non-coding RNA (EGUI_LNC044921)". Lineage: Eukaryota; Viridiplantae; Streptophyta; Magnoliopsida; Arecales; Arecaceae. The record is from RNAcentral.
GGGCUUAGAGGAGACUGAGAGGAACCUGGAGCAGAUGCCGAAGCAGGAAUGGAAGCAGAAGAGAUCUGAGAAGCUUGUCUUUUCCUGCGCACGCCCUCUUCCAACUCACGGAUCGAUUUUCUUCUUUGAGGGAGUUUCAUUUUUGGAGCCAUUCUCACCACCAGAACAAGCAAGGAGACUUGGAAGAUCAAAUGUGUGAGGAGAUAGAGGGUUAUUAGGGGAUGGAAAGGGAUUUUUGGAGGGGAGAAACCCCGAUUUGGAGGAGAAUGGUGGAAGCUAGGGCACGCUCCAACCGCUCCAAUGAAGGGAAAAAAAUGGGAAUAGCUCCUUUCCCAAGGGGCGAUUUGAGGUGGAGGGGUGAUGGGAGAAAGAUCUUGGGCUUAGACCUUGGAUUUGGAGAGGAAGAAGAAGAGGACUAUGGGUUUUGGAGGGAGGAAG